GACGAACGCUGGCGGCGUGCCUAAUACAUGCAAGUAGAACGCACAGUUUAUACCGUAGCUUGCUACACCAUAAACUGUGAGUUGCGAACGGGUGAGUAACGCGUAGGUAACCUGCCUGGUAGCGGGGGAUAACUAUUGGAAACGAUAGCUAAUACCGCAUAAUAUUGAUUAUUGCAUGAUAAUUGAUUGAAAGAUGCUAUUGCAUCACUACCAGAUGGACCUGCGUUGUAUUAGCUAGUAGGUGAGGUAACGGCUCACCUAGGCGACGAUACAUAGCCGACCUGAGAGGGUGAUCGGCCACACUGGGACUGAGACACGGCCCAGACUCCUACGGGAGGCAGCAGUAGGGAAUCUUCGGCAAUAGACGAAAGUCUGACCGAGCAACGCCGCGUGAGUGAAGAAGGUUUUCGGAUCGGAAAGCUCUGUUGUAAGAGAAGAACGGGUGUGAGAGUGGAAAGUGCACACUGUGACGGUAUCUUACCAGAAAGGGACGGCUAACUACGUG
This 505-nucleotide ribosomal RNA is filed under the name uncultured bacterium. RNAcentral's name for it is "partial 16S ribosomal RNA". It matches the Rfam family "Bacterial small subunit ribosomal RNA", at positions 28 to 507 of the family's 1533-position model. The record is from RNAcentral.